UACGUAGGGUGCAAGCGUUGUCCGGAAUUAUUGGGCGUAAAGAGCUCGUAGGCGGUCUGUCGCGUCGGCUGUGAAAACUCGGGGCUCAACCCCGAGCCUGCAGUCGAUACGGGCAGACUAGAGUGCGGUAGGGGAGACUGGAAUUCCUGGUGUAGCGGUGAAAUGCGCAGAUAUCAGGAGGAACACCGGCGGCGAAGGCGGGUCUCUGGGCCGUAACUGACGCUGAGGAGCGAAAGCGUGGGGAGCGAACAGG
Molecule: ribosomal RNA, 253 nt
Filed under: uncultured bacterium
Lineage: Bacteria
Description: partial 16S ribosomal RNA
Rfam family: Bacterial small subunit ribosomal RNA
Source: RNAcentral